Molecule: ribosomal RNA, 406 nt
Filed under: uncultured bacterium
Lineage: Bacteria
Description: partial 16S ribosomal RNA
Rfam family: Bacterial small subunit ribosomal RNA
Source: RNAcentral
AUUGAACGCUGGCGGCAGGCCUAACACAUGCAAGUCGAACGAGUGGCGGACGGGUGAGUAAUGUCUGGGAAACUGCCCGAUGGAGGGGGAUAACUACUGGAAACGGUAGCUAAUACCGCAUACCAUCGGAUGUGCCCAGUUGGGAUUAUCUAGUAGUUGGGGUAACGGCUCACCUAGGCGACGAUCCCUAGCUGGUCUGAGAGGAUGACCAGCCACACUGGAACUGAGACACGGUCCAGACUCCUACGAGAGGCAGCAGUGGGGAAUAUUGCACAAUGGGCGCAAGCCUGAUGCAGCCAUGCCGCGUGUAUGAAGAAGGCCUUCGGGUUGUAAAGUACUUUCAGCGGGGAGGCGUUACCCGCAGAAGAAGCACCGGCUAACUCCGUGCCAGCAGCCGCGGUAAUAG